Hemiscyllium ocellatum (epaulette shark) is the source of this 503-nucleotide long non-coding RNA. RefSeq lists it as uncharacterized. NCBI's taxonomy places the organism in Eukaryota, Metazoa, Chordata, Chondrichthyes, Orectolobiformes, Hemiscylliidae. The transcript is spliced from 3 exons. The record is from RefSeq and is a predicted model, not a curated record.
UCAGGGCCUACAGUACAAGUCUCAACUGGUUCUACCCUUGUUAGUCCAGAGACACUGAUAUCUAUACAGCACUCGUAUCUGGUUUCAUCAAUGACAGCAUAAUGAUAAGAUGCUAUGACACAGAGAUAGGAGAAAGUGAGGACUGCAGAUGCUGGAGAUCAGAGUCAAAGGGUGUGAUGCUGGAAAAGCAGUGAGGCAGCAUCCGAGGAGCAGGAGAAUCGCCAUUUUGAGUCAUCAGGAAACACAAAGACCUGGGAGUUCUUUAGAUGUGCAUCAGCUUGCAAGCAAGAAACGUUACCUGAACUGAGGGUCUUCCAUCAUCAUAUAAUGAUCUAACAGCAACAUUAUCUCUCAUCAGGAAACUGAAGAAAAUCUGAGAAAAGUCACCUCAUUUUAUCUUUCUAGUUUGGACUGUUGAUCAAAAAGUUUUGUCAUUCAUCAUUGCUCUGCAGAGCUGUGUAUCUCACUCUGUCCGAAUAUGAAGGUGCUUGUAAGUUUGUGUG